Molecule: ribosomal RNA, 275 nt
Filed under: uncultured bacterium
Lineage: Bacteria
Description: partial 16S ribosomal RNA
Source: RNAcentral
CUGCUGCCUUCCGUAGGAGUCUGGUCCGUGUCUCAGUACCAGUGUGGGGGGCCUUCCUCUCAGAACCCCUACGCAUCGUCGCCUCGGUGGGCCGUUACCCCGCCGACUAGCUAAUGCGCCGCAUGCCCAUCCGUGGCCGGGAUUGCUCCCUUGGCGGCCUUGGGAUGUCCCUAGGCCGCGUUACGCGGUAUUAGACGGGGUUUCCCCCGCUUAUCCCCCUGCCACGGGCAGGUUGCAUACGUGUUACUCACCCGUGCGCCGGUCGCCGGCAACGG